RNAcentral lists this ribosomal RNA (253 nucleotides) under uncultured bacterium. RNAcentral's name for it is "partial 16S ribosomal RNA". It matches the Rfam family "Bacterial small subunit ribosomal RNA", at positions 524 to 776 of the family's 1533-position model. The record is from RNAcentral.
CACGUAGGGCGCAAGCGUUGUCCGGAAUUAUUGGGCGUAAAGAGCUCGUAGGCGGUCUGUUGCGUCCGAUGUGAAAACUGGAGGCUUAACCUCCAGCGGUCGAUGGAAACCAUUUGGCUAGAGUCCGGAAGAGGAGAGUGGAAUUCCUGGUGUGGCGGUGAAAUGCGCAGAUAUCAGGAAGAACACCCGUGGCGAAGGCGGCUCUCUGGGACGGUACUGACGCUGAGACGCGAAAGCGUGGGGAGCGAACAGG